This is a long non-coding RNA of Mus musculus (house mouse), 1187 nucleotides long. RefSeq annotates it as predicted gene, 17399. Lineage: Eukaryota; Metazoa; Chordata; Mammalia; Rodentia; Muridae. The transcript is spliced from 2 exons. The record is from RefSeq and is marked validated.
GACUGCCCUCUCCCGGAAUCCUGAUGGAAAGGGGACGGGUUUCCGCAGGGAAUGAGGGCGUGGCCACGCAUGCUCUCCCAAGAGGCCGCCUCGUGUGUGCACUGCCUGGCUUUUCGAAGUAACACGUGGGCUUUGAGACUUAGGCCUCAUAUCUCAAAAGUACUGAAUGACCCGGUCAUUCAGUCCUUAGACCUUCUGUCUCUGUCGGGUUUCAGCCCCAGUCUUGAGUGCCAGAGGCAAAGAAAUAAAAAUAAAGCCCUUAUUCCUGGGAGAAAAGCCACCUGCAGGAGUCCUGCACUGGAGACCUCUGUUUUGUGACAUCCCCUGGGCGGACAGUCCAGUCUGGGUGGUGUUAUGGAUCUUGACACUGCUUGAAAGCUGUACUUUGUUGCUGACAUAAGGGAAGGGUAACUUUCUGGGUGGCACUUAGGCCUGUUUCCGGUCUCUGAGCGACCUUCGGUUCUGAGUCGUGAUCAGAUCUCCAUUUAAUGAGCUCGAGCCUCCAAAGGACUUAGAAAGCCAGCAGUAACUAAUGAUGAAGUGCAAUGUCUUCCUGUAAGACCUUCUGCCUGAACUUCAUUGAAGAAUAAUGGCAUCUUCCUCUUCCUUCAUCCCUUAACACAGGAGCCCAUCGAGUGUCCACAUGCACAGAGGAGUCACUUGUCCGCUGACAGCCAUGGCUUUGCAGUAAACGCCAAGGCAUAGAUGCUUCCAUCCCGUAAGCAAGAGCGAGACCUGGAAAUAGCCAGAGACCUAGGUGUGAAGUACAGGCUGUUCUGUUGGUAACAGAAAGGCAUCUCUGCAUCUCCUUCUUAAUUAAUGUCCCUUCUUGUUAUAGAAAUAAAUCUUAUGCUUGUGUGAAACUCAUACUGUAGAGGAGUCCUCCUGCCCUUACUCUGGCUUUAACUCCUUCCCACACAAAGUAACCUACUUCAUUUGCAGUCCAGGAGAGAUCCUUCAGUUUUGCUGCAUUUCUCAAUUAAGUACAGUAUGCAUCAGGCAGCAGAUUUUCUGUACCAAUGAAGUUACACUUUGCACAUUGUUCUAGAAAACACAUCACACAAUGAGAUGGUUAUCUCAUUUGUCACUUGUCUGUGUCUUUAAACAAUUUAAAGUAAAACGCUUGUGGUUCAUCUUUACCUCUUACAAAUAAUCGAAAAUAAAAUGCUACACAUGGUGUCAAAAGC